GGUUCCCUCCGAAGUUUCCCU
RNAcentral lists this small nuclear RNA (21 nucleotides) under Arabidopsis thaliana (thale cress). RNAcentral describes it as "snRNA_00801". The record is from RNAcentral. Lineage: Eukaryota; Viridiplantae; Streptophyta; Magnoliopsida; Brassicales; Brassicaceae.